GACGAACGCUGGCGGCAUGCCUAAUACAUGCAAGUCGAGCGAACAGAUGAAGUGCUUGCACUUCUGACGUUAGCGGCGAACGGGUGAGUAACACGUAAGGAAUCUACCUAUAAGCGGGGGAUAACAUUCGGAAACGGGUGCUAAUACCGCAUAAUAUCUUCUUCCGCAUGGAAGAAGAUUGAAAGACGGCUCUGCUGUCACUUAUAGAUGACCUUGCGGUGCAUUAGUUAGUUGGUGGGGUAACGGCCUACCAAGACGAUGAUGCAUAGCCGACCGGAGAGGGUGAUCGGCCCCAUUGGGACUGAGACACGGCCCAAACUCCUACGGGAGGCAGCAGUAGGGAAUCUUCCGCAAUGGGCGAAAGCCUGACGGAGCAAUGCCGCGUGAGUGAAGAAGGCCUUCGGGUCGUAAAACUCUGUUAUAAGAGAAGAACAAAUUGUAGAGUAACUGCUACAGUCUUGACGGUAUCCUAUCAGAAAGCCACGGCUAACUACGUGCCAGCCGCCGCCGUAA
RNAcentral lists this ribosomal RNA (513 nucleotides) under uncultured bacterium. RNAcentral's name for it is "partial 16S ribosomal RNA". It matches the Rfam family "Bacterial small subunit ribosomal RNA", at positions 28 to 523 of the family's 1533-position model. The record is from RNAcentral.